AGUAAUGUCUGGGAAACUGCCUGAUGGAGGGGGAUAACUGCUGGAGACGGUAGCUAAUACCGCAUAACGUCGCAAGACCAAAGAGGGGGACCUUCGGGCCUCUUGCCAUCGGAUGUGCCCAGAUGGGAUUAGCUAGUAGGUGGGGUAACGGCUCACCUAGGCGACGAUCCCUAGCUGGUCUGAGAGGAUGGCCAGCCACACUGGAACUGAGACACGGUCCAG
RNAcentral lists this ribosomal RNA (222 nucleotides) under uncultured bacterium. Its description in RNAcentral is "partial 16S ribosomal RNA". It matches the Rfam family "Bacterial small subunit ribosomal RNA", at positions 109 to 334 of the family's 1533-position model. The record is from RNAcentral.